UUACUUUGCUCAAAUCUCUUCCUUUCAGUUUUCUUCCAACUCCUUCCAUAACUGAAGACGACGAUGAUGAUCGACUGCGCCGCAGGAAAUAUUCCUCCGGUGACACAUUCUCAUCAUCAACAACUUUCUUUGUCUUCUUUCUUUGAACCAUUGACCAAUCAGGGACAUUGACAGGGACCGACUGUUGUCUCAUAGGUGCCAUUCCUUCUGUCCUCUGCCUCUCAGGAAUCAUUCUAGGUUCGCUUGGAAGUAAAGUUUGGGUUGAGAAAGAAGG
This 274-nucleotide long non-coding RNA is filed under the name Arabidopsis thaliana (thale cress). RNAcentral's name for it is "long non-coding RNA (ATHA_LNC000299)". Lineage: Eukaryota; Viridiplantae; Streptophyta; Magnoliopsida; Brassicales; Brassicaceae. The record is from RNAcentral.